GCUAAUACCGCAUACGCCUUGAGAGGGAAAGCUUUAUGCGCCCUGGGAUGAGCCCGCGUCGGAUUAGCUUGUUGGUGAGGUAACGGCUCACCAAGGCUUCGAUCCGUAGCUGGUCUGAGAGGAUGAUCAGCCACACUGGGACUGAGACACGGCCCAGACUCCUACGGGAGGCAGCAGUGGGGAAUAUUGGACAAUGGGGGCAACCCUGAUCCAGCCAUGCCGCGUGCGUGAAGAAGGCCUUAGGGUUGUAAAGCGCUUUCGGCGGGGAAGAUGAUGACGGUACCCGCAGAAGAAGCCCCGGCUAACUCCGUGCCAGCAGCCGCGGUAAUACGGAGGGGGCAAGCGUUGUUCGGAAUUACUGGGCGUAAAGGGCGCGUAGGCGGAUUGUCAAGUCAGAGGUGAAAGCCCUGGGCUCAACCUGGGAACUGCCUUUGAAACUGAUAGUCUUGAGUCCGAGAGAGGAUGGCGGAAUUCCCAGUGUAGAGGUGAAAUUCGUAGAUAUUGGGAAGAACACCA
RNAcentral lists this ribosomal RNA (516 nucleotides) under uncultured bacterium. RNAcentral's name for it is "bacterial SSU rRNA". It matches the Rfam family "Bacterial small subunit ribosomal RNA", at positions 162 to 711 of the family's 1533-position model. The record is from RNAcentral.